Molecule: ribosomal RNA, 484 nt
Filed under: uncultured bacterium
Lineage: Bacteria
Description: partial 16S ribosomal RNA
Rfam family: Bacterial small subunit ribosomal RNA
Source: RNAcentral
AUUGAACGCUGGCGGCAGGCCUAACACAUGCAAGUCGAGCGGAUGAAUGGAGCCUGCUCCUGGACUCAGCGGCGGACGGGUGAGUAAUGCCCAGGAAUCUGCCUGGACGUGCGGGAUAACGUCCGGAAACGGGCGCUAAUACCGCAUCCGUCCAGGUGGAGAAAGUGGGGGAGCUUCGGACCGCAUGCUAUCAGAUGAGCCUAGGUCGGUUUAGCUAGUAGGUGGCGUAAAGGCCUACCAAGGCGACUAUCCGUAACUGGUCUGAGAGCAUGACCAGACACCCUGUAACUGAGACACGGUCCCGACUCCUACAGGAGGCCGCAGUGCGGACUCUUGCGGGAUGGGCGAGUGCCUGAUCCAGCCCUGCCGCGUGUAUGAAGAAGGUCUUCUGCUUGUAGAGCGCUUUAAGUUGGAGGGUAGGACAGUAAGUUUAUACCUUGCUGUUUUGACAUUACCGACAGAAUAAGCACCGGCUAACUUCGUG